CAGCCGCCGCGGUAAUACGAAGGGGGCUAGCGUUGCUCGGAAUGACUGGGCGUAAAGGGCGCGUAGGCGGCGGCCAAAGUCAGGCGUGAAAUUCCCGGGCUCAACCUGGGGGCUGCGUUUGAUACUUGGUUGCUUGAGUGGGGAAGAGGGUCGUGGAAUUCCCAGUGUAGAGGUGAAAUUCGUAGAUAUUGGGAAGAACACCGGUGGCGAAGGCGGCGACCUGGUCCUUUACUGACGCUGAGGCGCGAAAGCGUGGGGAGCAAACAGGAUUAGAUACCCCUGUAGUCCCUGUCUCUUAUAC
Molecule: ribosomal RNA, 301 nt
Filed under: uncultured bacterium
Lineage: Bacteria
Description: partial 16S ribosomal RNA
Rfam family: Bacterial small subunit ribosomal RNA
Source: RNAcentral